RNAcentral lists this ribosomal RNA (472 nucleotides) under uncultured organism. Its description in RNAcentral is "partial 16S ribosomal RNA". It matches the Rfam family "Bacterial small subunit ribosomal RNA", at positions 335 to 798 of the family's 1533-position model. The record is from RNAcentral.
ACUCCUGCGGGAGGCAGCAGUGGGGAAUUUUGGACAAUGGGCGCAAGCCUGAUCCAGCCAUGCCGCGUGCGGGAAGAAGGCCUUCGGGUUGUAAACCGCUUUUGUCAGGGAAGAAAAGGUUCUGGCUAAUACCUGGGACUCAUGACGGUACCUGAAGAAUAAGCACCGGCUAACUACGUGCCAGCAGCCGCGGUAAUACGUAGGGUGCAAGCGUUAAUCGGAAUUACUGGGCGUAAAGCGUGCGCAGGCGGUUAUGCAAGACAGAGGUGAAAUCCCCGGGCUCAACCUGGGAACUGCCUUUGUGACUGCAUGGCUAGAGUACGGUAGAGGGGGAUGGAAUUCCGCGUGUAGCAGUGAAAUGCGUAGAUAUGCGGAGGAACACCGAUGGCGAAGGCAAUCCCCUGGACCUGUACUGACGCUCAUGCACGAAAGCGUGGGGAGCAAACAGGAUUAGAAACCCGGGUAGUCCCAU